GACGAACGCUGGCGGCGUGCCUAACACAUGCAAGUCGAGCGAGUGGAGUUCUUCGGAACAAAGCUAGCGGCGGACGGGUGAGUAACACGUGGGCAACCUGCCUCAUAGAGGGGAAUAGCCUCCCGAAAGGGAGAUUAAUACCGCAUAAGAUUGUAGCUUCGCAUGAAGUAGCAAUUAAAGGAGCAAUCCGCUAUGAGAUGGGCCCGCGGCGCAUUAGCUAGUUGGUGAGGUAACGGCUCACCAAGGCGACGAUGCGUAGCCGACCUGAGAGGGUGAUCGGCCACAUUGGGACUGAGACACGGCCCAGACUCCUACGGGAGGCAGCAGUGGGGAAUAUUGCACAAUGGGGGAAACCCUGAUGCAGCAACGCCGCGUGAGUGAUGACGGCCUUCGGGUUGUAAAGCUCUGUCUUCAGGGACGAUAAUGACGGUACCUGAGGAGGAAGCCACGGCUAACUACGUGCCAGCAGCCGCCGUAA
RNAcentral lists this ribosomal RNA (478 nucleotides) under uncultured bacterium. RNAcentral describes it as "partial 16S ribosomal RNA". It matches the Rfam family "Bacterial small subunit ribosomal RNA", at positions 28 to 523 of the family's 1533-position model. The record is from RNAcentral.